RNAcentral lists this ribosomal RNA (484 nucleotides) under uncultured Colwellia sp. Its description in RNAcentral is "bacterial SSU rRNA". It matches the Rfam family "Bacterial small subunit ribosomal RNA", at positions 50 to 524 of the family's 1533-position model. The record is from RNAcentral. Lineage: Bacteria; Pseudomonadati; Pseudomonadota; Gammaproteobacteria; Alteromonadales; Colwelliaceae.
CACACUGCAAGUCGAGCGGUAACAGAGAGUAGCUUGCUACUUUGCUGACGAGCGGCGGACGGGUGAGUAAUGCUUGGGAAUAUGCCUUAUGGUGGGGGACAACAGUUGGAAACGACUGCUAAUACCGCAUAACGUCUACGGACCAAAGGGGGGGAUCUUCGGACCUCUCGCCAUUUGAUUAGCCCAAGUGAGAUUAGCUAGUUGGUAAGGUAAAGGCUUACCAAGGCGACGAUCUCUAGCUGGUUUGAGAGGAUGAUCAGCCACACUGGGACUGAGACACGGCCCAGACUCCUACGGGAGGCAGCAGUGGGGAAUAUUGCACAAUGGGCGAAAGCCUGAUGCAGCCAUGCCGCGUGUGUGAAGAAGGCCUUCGGGUUGUAAAGCACUUUCAGUUGUGAGGAAAGGGGUGUAGUUAAUAGCUGCAUCCUGUGACGUUAGCAACAGAAGAAGCACCGGCUAACUUCGUGCCAGCAGCCGCGGUAAC